GGGAACGGAUGGGUCCCGGGGGCCUUCUGGUCUUCAAAACCAGUGGCGCGGCGCCCAGCGCGGCGCGGUGGGUUCGACUCCCACGCGUUCCCGCCA
This 96-nucleotide transfer RNA is filed under the name Chloroflexota bacterium. RNAcentral's name for it is "tRNA-Sec". It matches the Rfam family "Selenocysteine transfer RNA". The record is from RNAcentral. Lineage: Bacteria; Bacillati; Chloroflexota.